AUGUUCCCGGAAAGCCGGAAACUCCUGCGCCUGUUCGGCAUUCCCUACAUCCAGGCUCCUAUGAAAGCAGAGGCACAGUGUGCCAUCCUGGACCUGACUGAUCAGACUUCUGGAACCAUCACUGAUGACAGUGAUAUCUGGCUGUUUGGAGCACGGCAUGUCUUUAAAAACUUUUUUAAUAAAAACAAGUUUGUAGAAUAUCACCAAUAUGUGGACUUUCACAAUCAAUUAGGAUUGGACCGGAAUGAGUUAAUAAAUUUGGCCUAUUUGAUUGGAAGUGAUUAUACUGAAGGAAUACCAACUGUGGGUUGUGUAACCGCCAUGGAAAUUCUCAGUGAAUUUCCCGGGCAUGGCCCGGAACCUCUCCUAAAAUUCUCGGAAUGGUGGCAUGAAGCUCAAAACAAUCCAAAGAUAAGGCCAAAUCCUCAUGACACCAAAGUGAAAAAAAAAAAAAAAAAAUUACUGACAUUGCAACUCACCGCUGGCUUUCCUAAUCCAGCUAUUGCCGAGGCCUACCUCAAACCUGUGGUGGAUGACUCGCGGGGAUCAUUUCUGUGGGGGAAACCUGAUCUCUACAAAAUUAGGGAAUUUUGUCAGCGGUAUUUCUGCUGGAACAGAACGAAGACAGAUGAAUCUCUGUUUCCUGUAUUAAAGCAACUCAAUGCCCAGCAGACAGAGCUCUGAAUUGACUCCUUCUUUAGACUAGCACAACAGGAGAAAGAAGAUGCUUAGCCUAUUAUGAGCCAGAGACUAAACAGAGCUGUGACAUGUAUGCUCAGGAAAGAGAGAGAAGCAGCAGCCAGUGAAAUAGAAGCAGUUUCUGUUGCUAUGGAGAAAGAAUUUGAGAUACUUGAUAAGGCAAAAGGAAAAACCCAGAAAAGAGGCGUAACAAAUACAUCGAAAGAGUCAUCAAGCCUGAAAAGAAAGAGGCUUUCAGAUUCUAAAGGAAAGAAUCUACGUGGUGGAUUUUUGGGGGAGACCUGCCUCUCAGAAUCAUCUGAUGCAUCUUCAAGUGAGGAUGCUGAAAGUUCAUCUUUAGUGAAUAUACAAAGGAGAAAAGCAGUGAAAGAGCCAAAAUUCAAUGCUUCAGCUUCGCAGAACUCACUGAAGGAAGCUCCUGUGAAGUAUGGCCUUGCGACCACCAGCAGCUCUAGUGAUGACAAUGGAGAGGAAGAGAAGACAGUCCUCGUGACUGCCGCAUCUGUGUUUGGGAAGAAAAGAGGGAAACUGAGACGUCUAAGAGGAAGAAAAAGAAAAACUUAAUUUAAAAAUAUGUGUCUUCUAUAAUUAGGUAUGACAGCAUUUGUAAUGAAUUUGUUAAGACAUAAUAAAAUUAACUGUAUUUGCACAGUCAAAAAAAAUCAAAUUGCUAUUUGAUGUUUUUUAACAGCCUAUGGCUCCAGCAUCUUCUGGUCCUGAUAAGCAAAUCUCAGCUAUCACUCAA
Molecule: non-coding RNA, 1444 nt
Organism: Callithrix jacchus (white-tufted-ear marmoset)
Lineage: Eukaryota; Metazoa; Chordata; Mammalia; Primates; Cebidae
Source: RefSeq, a predicted model, not a curated record